RNAcentral lists this unclassified non-coding RNA (468 nucleotides) under Hevea brasiliensis (rubber tree). The record is from RNAcentral. Lineage: Eukaryota; Viridiplantae; Streptophyta; Magnoliopsida; Malpighiales; Euphorbiaceae.
UGAUCCAAAAGGUUCAAUCUAAUUCCAGUGUGUUCAGUGAUCGAGGUAUGACAUAAUAAUUUAGUUGAGGACAAUAUUAAUAUUGCCAGAUAUAGGAAUCACACCUUGGAAAUAACUAGGGACUCGGAAGCAGUAUGGCUCAAAUUUCUUGAUCAGUCCUUGGAAUUCUCAUUGCUACUGAUUUUUUUUUGUUGAACAUUUUUCUUAAUCCAAGAUAGAAGGAACUCUAAAAUUAAACAAUUAAUAUGAAAAAAAGAAUUGAUAAUUACGUUAUAUAUAUAAAACUAUUCUUGAGACCUUCAUCUAUAAGUUUGAGCUUUUAGGUUGAAUGGUGUCUCGACGUGGUAUUAGAGUGGUAAAGGCUCAGUGGCCAUAGAUCUAGAUCCAAAAACAUGUGGGUUGAGCCACAACGAGCCAAACCUCAUGAACUCAGCUAAUCGAGCUAGACUUAGGUGGAUCCAUGGGCUA